RNAcentral lists this long non-coding RNA (286 nucleotides) under Nicotiana benthamiana. RNAcentral's name for it is "long non-coding RNA (NBEN_LNC010759)". Lineage: Eukaryota; Viridiplantae; Streptophyta; Magnoliopsida; Solanales; Solanaceae. The record is from RNAcentral.
GGCAAUAUUUUCAUCAUUCAUAGUGCCGCUGAAUGAUUCUGGAAUUGCACGUUUCAUGAUCAUUAGACUCAUGCGAUUUGAGCGUUCCCACUUCUCCAUCUCCUUCUUUUCAUCAGAAGAAGAUGUAUCCUCAAGAGAAGCAGGUUGCUCAAUCCGAAGUGCAAGGUCUAGAUCCAUACAACUGAGAACGAUAAUAAUGUUCUCUUUCCAUUCCUUAAAGUUUGUGCCGUUAAGCACAGGGAUGCUGUUUGUAUUUGCAGAUAUCGAAGCAGCUGAAGAAUUCACU